GAGUGAACGCUGGCGGUAGGCCUACCACAUGCAAGUCGAACGGCAGCACAGUAAGAGCUUGCUCUUACGGGUGGCGAGUGGCGGACGGGUGAGGAAUACAUCGGAAUCUACUUUUUCGUGGGGGAUAACGUAGGGAAACUUACGCUAAUACCGCAUACGACCUACGGGUGAAAGCAGGGGAUCUUCGGACCUUGCGCGAUUGAAUGAGCCGAUGUCGGAUUAGCUAGUUGGCGGGGUAAAGGCCCACCAAGGCGACGAUCCGUAGCUGGUCUGAGAGGAUGAUCAGCCACAAUGGAACUGAGACACGGUCCAGACUCCUACGGGAGGCAGCAGUGGGGAAUAUUGGACAAUGGGCGCAAGCCUGAUCCAGCCAUACCGCGUGGGUGAAGAAGGCCUUCGGGUUGUAAAGCCCUUUUGUUGGGAAAGAAAAGCAGCAGGUUAAUACCCCGCUGUUCUGACGGUACCCAAAGAAUAAGCACCGGCUAACUUCGUG
Molecule: ribosomal RNA, 493 nt
Filed under: uncultured bacterium
Lineage: Bacteria
Description: partial 16S ribosomal RNA
Rfam family: Bacterial small subunit ribosomal RNA
Source: RNAcentral